Molecule: long non-coding RNA, 669 nt
Filed under: Physcomitrium patens
Lineage: Eukaryota; Viridiplantae; Streptophyta; Bryopsida; Funariales; Funariaceae
Description: long non-coding RNA (PPAT_LNC001163)
Source: RNAcentral
AAGUAUAUAAAAUUUUAAGUAAGAUCAAUAAUUUAAUUAAUAUAUAUUGAGGUUCGAAAUUGUAUUAAGAUUAGGAUUGGUUUAGGAUUUGGUUGAGAUUUGGUUAGGUUUUAGGAUUGAAUUAAGAUUUAGGAUUUGAUUAUGGUUUGAUUAGGAUUUAAGAUAAGAUUUGGAUUUAAGAUUUGAAUUAGGAUUUAAUAAGAAUUUAGAGUUUAGGAUUAUAUUUGGAUUUGGACUAAGAUUUAGGAUUUGGAUUAGGAUUUGUUAAGGAUUUAGGAUUUUAUUAGGAUUUGGACUACUAUUUAUGAUUUGGAUUAGAUUUUUUUAAGUUUUAGGAUUUAAGAUUUGGUUAGGAUAUGCUAAAGAUUUAGGAUUUAGGAUUUAAGGUUUGAUUAGGAUUUGCUAAAGAUUUAGGAUUUAAAAUUUGAUUAGGGUUUGCUAAAAAUUUAGGAUUUAGAAUCUGAUUAGGAUUUGAUUUAGGAUUAGGAUUGAAUUAGGAUUUAGGAUUUACUUAGGAUUUAGAGUUUAGGAUUUAUUUAGAAUUUAAGAUUUAAGAUUUGCUUAGGAUUUAGACUUUAGAAUUGCUUAGAGUUUAAGAUUUUGGAUUUGGCCUAGAAUUUGAUUGAAGUUCAUUAGGAUUUUAACUAAGAUUAAAUUAGGACUUGAUUG